Molecule: ribosomal RNA, 527 nt
Filed under: uncultured Actinomycetes bacterium
Lineage: Bacteria; Bacillati; Actinomycetota; Actinomycetes
Description: bacterial SSU rRNA
Rfam family: Bacterial small subunit ribosomal RNA
Source: RNAcentral
AGAGUUUGAUCAUGGCUCAGGACGAACGCUGGCGGCGCGCUUAACACAUGCAAGUCGAGCGAGAACCAGGGCUUCGGCCCUGGGGACAGCGGCGAACGGGUGAGUAACACGUGGAUAACCUGCCCUCGGCACCGGGAUAGCCCGGGGAAACUCGGAUUAAUACCGGAUAGCCCUUUCGGCUUUCGAGCCGGUCGGAAAAGGUAGCUUCGGCCUCUGGCCGAGGAUGGGUCCGCGGCGGAUUAGCUUGUUGGUGGGGUAAUGGCCUACCAAGGCACCGAUCCGUAGCUGGUCUGAGAGGACGAUCAGCCACACUGGGACUGAGACACGGCCCAGACUCCUACGGGAGGCAGCAGUGGGGAAUCUUGCGCAAUGGGCGAAAGCCUGACGCAGCGACGCCGCGUGAGGGAGGAAGGCCUUCGGGUUGUAAACCUCUUUCAGGAGGGACGAAGCUACUCGGGUGAAUAGCCCAGAGGGUGACGGUACCUCCAGAAGAAGCCCCGGCUAACUACGUGCCAGCAGCCGCGGUA